Molecule: long non-coding RNA, 376 nt
Organism: Teleopsis dalmanni
Lineage: Eukaryota; Metazoa; Arthropoda; Insecta; Diptera; Diopsidae
Exons: 2
Source: RefSeq, a predicted model, not a curated record
AGAUACUUUUAUUCAGUAUAGCGAGGAGUCGGACUUACUUGGAUAUCGUGCGGAUAUAAAGAAAUUAUUAAGUAGAGAAUAAUAUAUAUAUAAAAAAUAAAACAAAAUGCCUUGCCCUUGUGGAACUGAUUGCAAAUGUGGAAAAGGUGGAGAUACUGGAAAGAAAGGUUGUACUUGCGGACCGAACUGCACCUGCACUACAACCAAAUCAUGCGGUUGCAAAUAAAACUUUGAGCAAAACAUCAUUAAAUUUUGUUAAAAGAAAAACAAAUUAAAAAUUAAUUAUUUUUCAAAUUGCAUUAUCACAGCUUAAUAAUGUUACUUAUAUUCAUAUGUUAAAGUAUUAUAAACAACAAUAAAUAAUUCAAAAAAUAGA